UGGGGGAUAUUGCACAAUGGGCGAAAGCCUGAUGCAGCGACGCCGCGUGGGGGAUGAAGGCCUUCGGGUUGUAAACUUCUUUUGCUCUGAACAAGGCAUGCUAAUGGGUGUGUUGAGUGUAGGGGUUGAUUAGCGCCGGCUAACUACGUGCCAGCAGCCGCGGUAAUACGUAGGGCGCGAGCGUUGUCCGGAAUUAUUGGGCGUAAAGGGCUUGUAGGUGGCUGGUUGGGUCUGUCGUGAAAGCUCAUGGCUUAACUGUGGGUUUGCGGUGGGUACGGGCUGGCUUGAGUGCAGUAGGGGAGGCUGGAAUUCCUGGUGUAGCGGUGGAAUGCGCAGAUAUCAGGAGGAAUACCGGUGGCGAAGGCGGGUCUCUGGGCUGUUACUGACACUGAGGAGCGAAAGCAUGGGGAGCGAACAGG
RNAcentral lists this ribosomal RNA (419 nucleotides) under bacterium. RNAcentral describes it as "partial 16S ribosomal RNA". It matches the Rfam family "Bacterial small subunit ribosomal RNA", at positions 355 to 776 of the family's 1533-position model. The record is from RNAcentral.